Molecule: RNA transcript, 6562 nt
Organism: Diorhabda sublineata
Lineage: Eukaryota; Metazoa; Arthropoda; Insecta; Coleoptera; Chrysomelidae
Gene name: sphingomyelin phosphodiesterase
Exons: 18
Source: RefSeq, a predicted model, not a curated record
UUAUUAAUUUUGACAACGCCAUCCAUUACUUAUCUAGACUCUGCAGAGUUCGCGGUAGAACCGUCUUCGGGGCAUUCUUUUGGUGAAACCUGAUGGUGUUUGGGGGGACAACUUGACCCACAAUCAAUGUCGCGCCAAUAGGCAUCUCAAACCCCAGUCCGAGUCUUGACUCAAACGCGUCAACAUUGAAGCACGUCGAACUUUCUAUUUGUAAAGAUCGCUGACGUAUCUACGGUCAAUAUUUUUCAAAACUGCAUCGACCCAAUGUUAUCCUAUUAAGUGACUUGAUAAAUUGUGGAAAAAAGUGAUUGUACCAUAAAAUUUCUAUUUUAAAUUUAUUUUGACUAUAAGAUUUAUUAUGUUGAAGUUGCUACUACUGACAAUAUGUACAAUAGGCAAUAUAAUUUCCAUACAAGCUUUUCCAUACGUAAGAAAACAAUCGAAUAUUUUCACAAUAACAGCGGACGAUCCCGACCCAGAUACGGAAGAAUUAUACACGGACGAUUGGGAUUAUAAAUUAAAGCAAAACCGAAUACCAAUUUUGACAAAUUUGUACAGGAAUCAUACACUCCCACCGACAGCCAAUGGCAGUGGCCGUCUUCUGUGGGAAUUGGACCAAGAAAAAUCCACGCAUCUGCCGCAAUUCUUUGACAAAGCGUUAAAGUUGCUGAAUUUAAAACAAGUAGCGUAUGAAAUUGAAAAUUCUGUUAUGAGUAAAGUUUCGUGUACAGCUUGUAAAGCAGGAGCAGGUUUGUUACAACAUUAUAUUAAAACAGGAAGAUCCGAGAAGGAUAUUAAAAAAACCAUUUACCAUUUUUGUGUGAAUUUGAAGAUACAAUCACCUAGGGUGUGUGAAGGAAUCACAGAGUUAUUUGCAGGAGAAGUAAUUUACGUACUGGGGAAAGUAAAGAUGGGUCCUGACGAAGUGUGCAGUUUCGUUAUAGGCGACGCUUGUGGAGAUAUAUAUAAUCCUUACCAUGAAUGGGAAGUUCUAUUUCCUCCUGUACCAAAACCAACAGUAGCUGAAACAAAGAUACCUGAGGCUAAUGCUCCUACUUUCAAAGUUCUACAUCUUUCGGAUACCCAUUAUGAUCCUUAUUAUAUGGAAGGAAGUAAUGCAGAUUGCGCCGAGCCUCUUUGUUGUAGACUAACAAAUGGAUUAGCUUCUUCGAAGGAAACGGCGGCUGGAAAGUGGGGAGACUACAGAAAAUGUGAUACCCCGAAAAUAACAGUAGAUAACAUGUUACAGCAUAUUCAAGAAACGCACUCGGACAUAGAUUACAUUCUUUGGACUGGAGACUUACCCCCACACGAUAUCUGGAAUCAAACAAGAGAAGAGAAUUUGAAAACUUUGAAAGAUACGGUAAAUCAAAUGUCAAGUAUGUUUCCGGGAAUACCAAUAUUUCCAGCAUUAGGCAAUCAUGAAUCUGCUCCUGUUAAUAGUUUUCCUCCACCAUAUGUAACCACACCAGAAAGUUCUAUAUCUUGGCUGUAUGACGAAUUGGAUGUACACUGGAGGAAAUGGCUACCUAGUUCAGUUAGUAACACAGUCAGAAGAGGAGCUUUUUAUUCAGUUCUUAUUAGACCAGGAUUUCGACUUAUCUCCUUAAAUAUGAACUAUUGUAAUAACAAAAAUUGGUGGUUACUACUGAACAGCACAGAUCCAGCAACGGAACUUCAAUGGUUCAUAUACGAACUUCAGUCAGCGGAAUUCAAUGGAGAAAAGGUGCAUGUAAUAGGUCAUAUUCCACCUGGUCAUUCCGAUUGCCUGAAAGUCUGGUCAAGGAAUUAUUAUGCUAUCGUCAACAGAUACGAAACAACUAUAACUGCCCAAUUUUUCGGGCACACCCAUUAUGAUGAAUUCGAAGUGUUUUACGAUAAAAAAGAUUUAUCUAGAGCAAUCAGUAUUGCCUAUGUAGGACCAUCGGUUACUCCUUAUUAUGAUUUGAAUCCAGGGUACAGAAUAUAUUACGUAGAUGGUGAUCAUGAUAAAUCUACUAGAGCUGUUGUGGACCACGAAACGUGGACAAUGAAUCUUCGUGAAGCGAAUGUUUAUGGAUAUCCACUGUGGUUUAAGCUUUACACUGCAAGACAAGCUUUUGGUUUAGAUGCGUUAAGACCCCAAGAUUGGGACGAACUUGUUACCAAAAUGACCAAUGAUCCUAAGUUAUUUGAAUUAUUUUAUAAGUAUUAUUACAAAGCAAGUCCGGUAAGACCGAGUUGUGAUAUCGCGUGUAAAAAGAAAAUAUUAUGUGAUCUACAUUCGGGUCGAUCACAUGAUAGAAAAAAUUUGUGUGAAAAUAUUGAGUCAAGAAUAGAUUCUACCUCCAACGUUAGCUGGAGGGAAUGGUUCUAUAACACCAUAUCAGUUUCGAAAUGGGUUUCGAGAAUUUUUCCAUGGAUUUGAAGAAUUGCAGUAGACAUUUCUACAUCUGGAUAUCAGAGAGGUAUAAGGGUGGAACAAACUACUAAGAGCAUUUGUAUAUAACUUAUAGCGUGUCAAUGUUGAUGUCUAUCCCAAGACUAACCAUACAACUACCAAAAUACGUGUUGGGACUCGGAUAAAAUGGUUAAACUAGUUUUUAAAUGGAUUUCUAAAAGUGAUUCAAGUCGUGGUGGAAUGAGUGAAAAACAAAAAGAAAUUAUUUAUUAUUAUAAUUAUUUACUUAGAUAAUGUUGAAGAAGUUAAAGCUUAAGGUAUAAUUCAGUUAGUUACACUGUUUUAUUUGUUUUUAUUGUGACAACAGUCGACACUCUUUCACUUUUUCAAACAUAUAAAGGCGGUUCAGUAAGUUUUUUUUCAACCUAUGAGCUCUACUAAGGGCGGUUCAGUAAGUUUUUUUCAACCUUUGGGCUCUACAUAUAUCAAAUGUCUGUCUAACUGUAUAAUAAAAAAAACAGAUUUGUUGAAAUCAUCAAAUUAGGUAUUAUUAUUAGGUAUUAUUUGAUUGUAACAUAAUUUUUUUGUAAGUCUUCAGAUUUGUAGACAAGUAAUAAUCGGGGCUGAGUCCUAUUCGAAUGGAAGACGACCUAAUUUUUUGCUUAAUACAACGCCUUUUAAUAUAAAAACUGCACGUGUAUGCACCUUUGCAUUCCACCUGUACGAACUUUUUUUGCCAAAUGCAGUUAUUAGGUAUCUGGAUCAAAGCAAAACAAUUCAAGAUGCCACAUGAUUGCGUUUCUUGUCGAUCAUGAUCAAACGCAGAAAGAUUUAUCGAAUCCAAGUCAUUACUCAAAAUUUGAACCACUGAGUAAUGUCGUCGUAAUGGCUUCCAUAAUUUCUUGUACUUGUCUGAUCGGUCAAUACCAUAUCGUAUUUUUUUAAAUAGUUGUGAGUUAACUGGACAUUUGAAUUGAACACAGAAAACCAAGCUUAGGUUUUGGGCAAUGGUUUAUUUUUACAAACAAAAUGAGUACACGAAAGUUACUUCUUUCCACUAUCUCCUCAAAUCACGAUGUAAGUCUACUAACACUAAUAUUGAUACUGUUGCUUAUGUAAUGUUCAUCUGUCUGUAAAUGUUUAUAAGAACGAAUUGAUAUGAAUUUUUAAUGUUGGACGGAUCAGAUUAACUCGACAAUGAUUGAAAAUACAGUUGCAAUAACCAAUUGAAUUUCUGAAUUAAAUAGUUUGCUUUUAAAGUCUUCAAUAAAAUUAUCUGCCAUGAGCUGAUUCAAUCAUAAAAUGAAAAUGUGUAGAUAUUGAAAACUAGCCGUUAUUUCAAUCAGAAUAAUAUAGGAAUGCUUGUUUUUUCAGUAAACUUUAUCAUGAACUUAAAAAAUAUAAAUCAUAUAACAUAAUGUUUCGGACACUAUCCCGAUUGCAAGAUAUUAAAAUCUGAGUGUAAAGGAUUGAAAAUUAUGCGGAUAAAUUCUAAUCAAGGGGGGAAAUAGUUUUUGAUAAAUAAUUUUUUUUAUAAUAAAUUGUGAGAGGUUUAAUAUACUUCAAAGUACAUUUUUAAUAUCUGAACUAUACCUUAGGCUAAAAUUCUGUAAUAAGUGGUCUAUAAACAUUCAAAUUACAUCUGACUCAUAAUUUUUUGUUUUUAUAAGUUGAUUCUCACAAUACUAUUGUCCUAAUGCUUCAAGGUACGUCCGGAGCAAAGUGCUAAAGCAAACAUUGACUUUAUUCAUCAUCGUAGUUUUCAUUAAUUAUUCCUAUCCAAUGUAUGAGAUCUACAAAUAACAUGAAUAAUAAAUAUUUUUUUACUGUUAUUAUGUAUCACUUUAUACAAUCUAAUGUUUCUCAACGAAAAGGGGCCCCAUAAUUCUGGGUGGAUGGCACCAGGUCUUCUAAAUGAGAAAAACUAUAAUUACCAUGAACAUAAUUUGUGUGGUCCCCUUGGAUAAGUUCCGUCCUGAAUUUUUUAUGAAAAUGUCUCGUUAAAAAUCACUAAGGGACAUUUUGUAGUCAUCUCGACGACGAAAUGUAAUUAUUAACAGAAUUGAUUUCUCAGAAAUGUUAUUUCUAUUGCAUGCGAAAAGCAAAAAAACACCGUUUUGAUAAUGAGACGAUGUGCAUAGGUUGACGUAUUUUGACCUUUAGUGGUCAAAGUUCCUCAGGAAGGAUCUAAAAUGCUUAUGACCGGAUAAGAUAACGUUUGGAGCGUUAUGAAAGUUUAGAUGUUAUAGUUUUAAAUUGUAAAGACCACUUAGUACGUCACUAAUACAUUUCACUUAAAUAUAUUCUAUAUUUCUAUAUUUAAGUUCAAUAUUACUUCAGAAACAAUAAGUUUACACUGAAAGAUCGCUGGUAUAAUCCUUAAAAAAUUGUGUUAUCCGGAAAAAAAUUCUACAAAUUAUCUCAAUGUUUAUUACGACCACCUGUUAAGGUAACAGCUGAUCUAGCAUUAAACUGAUUUUUAUACCACUCGCUAAUUUUGUAGUACAAUAUUAAAAAAUAUUAUCUUUAAAUAUAAUACCCCCUAGGGGUGAACAUUGAUCAUGCUAUCUCCUUAGAAUUACAGAUAACAACUACUAACCUUGAUGUUAGAUUUCUAUUGAGAGGAUUUUAUACAGGAAGAUUGUUUUUUCAUCUUGGGAUCAUAAUCACAGACCUAACUGUCAUUUCCAUUGAUUUUUGAGUAUUUUCCUUUGUAUAUCUUUUUGGAACCGUUCUAAUAUCCCGUAGGGGUGAACAUUGAUUAUGCUAUCCACACAGAAUAUCAUAAAACAACCACUAAGACCAUGAUGUUAAAUUUUUAUUAACAGGAGUUCUUAGAGGAAGAUUGGGCAUUGGUUUUCUAUCUUAGGGUCAUAAUCAUACACCCAACUGUCCUAAUUUCGAAAAUAACUACUUCAUAAGAUAUUUUAAGUUCUUUAAUAUGAGUUUUAUGAGCUUCUAUGACCCUUUUUUCAACUUGAAACAUAAUUUAAUGUCAAUAUGUAUAUCAAUCCAUGUUUCACUGCACUAUAGUACCUAUAUUAACAGUCCUACAAGCCAAAAUCAGUACAAUCUGCUUGUCUUAACACUUCUUUUGCCUUUUUUACAUCUUGGAAUAAAAUUUAGUGUUGAUACAUGUUUCAAAACUUAUUUUAUUGUAGAAACUGUGUUAAAAUGGCUGCAUUAGCAAAUUCACAACUUGGAAUAGGUUUUAGCACAUUUUAUGAGCUGCUUUCAACGUGGGACAUAAUUUAAUGUCAAUAUGUAUGUUAAUCCAAGCUUCAUUGUCCUAAAGUAGCCAUAUUAUUAGCAGACCUGCAAGCAUAUGUCACUGACGAAACUUCCACUAAGCUUCAGACAUGAAAUAAAUACAGAUGAGCUGAAUGACAAUUGUGGGAUUCAUUGAUGUAAUGAGAAGAUUCAAAAGAAUUUCAAAGUCCGAGUUUAUUACUGAAGUGCCACACUGAACCAAAACUGUAUAAUUCAACCUAGUACUCGUGACUUUCACAUUGAUUUUGUAUUUGAAUAAUGAAUAAACUUUGUGACCAAACCAAACUGCUUGGAUCUUUAGCUCAAGCCUCUUCUAUAUAGAUUGUUUUUUUACCCAAUAUCAUAUCUAGUUUUCGUCUAUCUAAAUCUUACUCUUUAUUAUUCAGUGGUCUUCUUACUAUAAUUCUAGCUUAAUAAAUUAAUUUAUAUUCUUCCUUUUACCGCAUAUUUACAUUUCGUCUCUGUACUCAGUAUUUCAAUUCAAGGUUUUUAUAUAAUUUAUGUUUCUGUCAGUAUUUAUUAUGGAGAUAGUGAAAUUUUUUUUGGUACAUACGUUUUUGCUUUAAAAUACGUUUUUUUCUACAGAAGAGAUUUGUAUUUACUUUUAUAAAUAAAUAAUCGGUCUUUCAGUGUAUCAAUUUUAUUUAAAUUUCUAAAGGUUAUGUAAAUUGUGUGAACAUUGAAGGCUGUGUAUUUUUGACAUGAUCAAAAUACCAACAUAUAUGUCUGAUAUUUUUCUGAAUAAAGACACAAUUAUUUAUUUUUCUUAUAAUUAUAGUGAAUAGUAGAAGUAGAGCAUUUCACUACUAAUUUUUGAUCUGACAAUCAUUUCGGUGCUGAGUAGUAAAUGUUGACUUUCAACUAUUUCUUAGUUAAAACAUGUACAUAUUAUUCUACAAAUAAACAUUAAAA